AACCCUAGUUAAUAAAACACGGCGUAAAGCGUGAUUAAGGAAUAACCCCAAAUAAGAUUAAGCUCUGACUAAGCUGUAAAAAGCCUUAGUUAAAAUAAAAAUUUAUAAACGAAAGUAAUCUUACAACCCCUGAAUUCACGAUAGCUAAGGCCCAAACUGGGAUUAGAUACCCCACUAUGCUUAGCCCUAAACAUAAAUACUCAAAUAACAAGAGUAUUCGCCAGAGAACUACUAGCCACUGCUUAAAACUCAAAGGACUUGGCGGUGCUUUAUACCCCUCUAGAGGAGCCUGUUCUGUAAUCGAUAAACCCCGUUAAACCUCACCACUCUUUGCAAUGU
This 339-nucleotide ribosomal RNA is filed under the name Sciurus aestuans (Guianan squirrel). Its description in RNAcentral is "partial 12S ribosomal RNA". It matches the Rfam family "Bacterial small subunit ribosomal RNA", at positions 537 to 989 of the family's 1533-position model. The record is from RNAcentral. Lineage: Eukaryota; Metazoa; Chordata; Mammalia; Rodentia; Sciuridae.